GCCGGAGUGGCGGAAUAGGCAGACGCAAGGGACUUAAAAUCCCUCGGGCUCAAAAGGCCCGUGUGAGUUCGAUUCUCACCUCCGGCACCA
RNAcentral lists this transfer RNA (90 nucleotides) under Nitrospira sp. RNAcentral describes it as "tRNA-Leu". It matches the Rfam family "tRNA". From Rfam's summary of the family: Transfer RNA (tRNA) molecules are approximately 80 nucleotides in length. Their secondary structure includes four short double-helical elements and three loops (D, anti-codon, and T loops). Lineage: Bacteria; Pseudomonadati; Nitrospirota; Nitrospiria; Nitrospirales; Nitrospiraceae. The record is from RNAcentral.